This 85-nucleotide transfer RNA is filed under the name Halanaerobium hydrogeniformans. It matches the Rfam family "tRNA". Rfam says of the family: Transfer RNA (tRNA) molecules are approximately 80 nucleotides in length. Their secondary structure includes four short double-helical elements and three loops (D, anti-codon, and T loops). Lineage: Bacteria; Bacillati; Bacillota; Clostridia; Halanaerobiales; Halanaerobiaceae. The record is from Rfam by way of RNAcentral.
GCCGAGGUGGCGGAACUGGCAGACGCGCAGCGUUGAGGGCGCUGUGGGCAUUUUGUUCGUGUGGGUUCGAGUCCCACCCUCGGCA